This 253-nucleotide ribosomal RNA is filed under the name uncultured bacterium. RNAcentral describes it as "partial 16S ribosomal RNA". It matches the Rfam family "Bacterial small subunit ribosomal RNA", at positions 524 to 776 of the family's 1533-position model. The record is from RNAcentral.
UACAGAGGUCCCAAGCGUUGCUCGGAAUCACUGGGCGUAAAGGGUGCGUAGGCGGGUCUUUAAGUCAGGGGUGAAAUCCUGGAGCUCAACUCCAGAACUGCCUUUGAUACUGAAGAUCUUGAGUUCGGGAGAGGUGAGUGGAACUGCGAGUGUAGAGGUGAAAUUCGUAGAUAUUCGCAAGAACACCAGUGGCGAAGGCGGCUCACUGGCCCGAUACUGACGCUGAGGCACGAAAGCGUGGGGAGCGAACAGG